UCCCAAUGACCCAGAAAUUUAAAACAAAAAAACAAUAACAAUAACAAAUAUAUCUUAAAGAAUAAAUAACAAAAAAUUGAAAAAAGUAAAAACAAGAACAAGAUCUUUUUUUUUUUUUUUUUUAAUAACAAACUCCUUGUUUGGCACGAAGGCUUGGUUUUCUCUCAUUGCACAGAUCGAUAUCCGGUGGGUUUUAGGCAAAGUCGGUUUUACAUAACAAAAACUCUGGAUUCCACCUCUUCCCGUCUUUGGCAACGGUGGUAUGCCGCUUGGCUUUCAGGUUGUGUUGCGCUUGGAUCUAAAGAGCUUUGACAUAUUUCUGAAGACAUGGGGCAGAUGCGCUUCUGGUAAAAAACAAGAACAAGAUCAAACCAAACCCAAAAAAAGCCACCCCUAUCACGUCUUCCCCAACCCCAACCCAACCUCCCACCAUACCCACCACCUAGAUCCACCAGUGUAGGGCAGUGGGUGGAUGUCAUAUCCAAACUGAGUACAUCAAGGCCAAGUGGUUGUCUCCUCACACAAUCUCUGCGACUGAGACUGAGUUGGACGAGUCGGUAUUUGAGCUGUAUAAGAGUUUGGGUGAGGAGAAGAAGCCGAUAGUGGC
RNAcentral lists this long non-coding RNA (607 nucleotides) under Prunus dulcis (almond). RNAcentral describes it as "sRNA ncRNA". Lineage: Eukaryota; Viridiplantae; Streptophyta; Magnoliopsida; Rosales; Rosaceae. The record is from RNAcentral.